CCUACGGGGGGCUGCAGUGGGGAAUAUUGGACAAUGGGGGCAACCCUGAUCCAGCCAUGCCGCGUGUGUGAAGAAGGCCCUCGGGUUGUAAAGCACUUUCAGUGAGGAAGAACGCCUGGUGGUUAAUACCCAUCAGGAAAGACAUCACUCACAGAAGAAGCACCGGCUAACUCCGUGCCAGCAGCCGCGGUAAUACGGAGGGUGCGAGCGUUAAUCGGAAUUACUGGGCGUAAAGCGCGCGUAGGUGGCUUGAUAAGCCGGUUGUGAAAGCCCCGGGCCCAACCUGGGAACGGCAUCCGGAACUGUCAAGCUAGAGUGCAGGAGAGGAAGGUAGAAUUCCCGGUGUAGCGGUGAAAUGCGUAGAGAUCGGGAGGAAUACCAGUGGCGAAGGCGGCCUUCUGGACUGACACUGACACUGAGGUGCGAAAGCGUGGGUAGCAAACAGGAUUAGAUACCCCGGUAGUC
Molecule: ribosomal RNA, 465 nt
Filed under: Vreelandella stevensii
Lineage: Bacteria; Pseudomonadati; Pseudomonadota; Gammaproteobacteria; Oceanospirillales; Halomonadaceae
Description: partial 16S ribosomal RNA
Rfam family: Bacterial small subunit ribosomal RNA
Source: RNAcentral